Molecule: ribosomal RNA, 277 nt
Filed under: uncultured bacterium
Lineage: Bacteria
Description: partial 16S ribosomal RNA
Rfam family: Bacterial small subunit ribosomal RNA
Source: RNAcentral
GAUAAACGCUGGCGGCGUGCCUAACACAUGCAAGUGGAGCGACGAACCGGGCUUCGGCCCGGGGCAAAGCCGCGAACGGGUGAGUAACACGUGGGUAACCUGCCCCGAUGAUUGGGACAACCCGAGGAAACUCGGGCUAAUACCGGAUGUGCCCUAUGGCCUCAAGGCCUGUGGGGAAAGGAAGCUUCGGCCUCCGCAUCGGGAUGGGCCCGCGGCCCAUUAGCUUGUUGGUGAGGUAACGGCUCACCAAGGCAACGAUGGGUAGCUGGUCUGAGAG